UACUAGAUUGCUAUUAGUAGCCUUUGUUCUGUACAUGCGCAUCGCUUGUUGCAAGGGGGAAUGAUUUAAAGACUGGACCAAUUUCCGAACUAACCAUGAUCGAGGUUGUUUGUAACGACCGCCUGGGGAAAAAAGUGAGAGUAAAAUGCAACUCAGAAGACACUAUUAAGGAUCUGAAGAAACUUAUUGCAGCGCAGACAGGCACACGUUGGGAAAAAAUUGUGCUGAAGAAAUGGUAUACAAUAUUCAAAGACCAUGUUUCUUUAAGUGACUAUGAAAUUCACGAUGGAAUGAACCUGGAAUUAUAUUACCAGUAACUUGAUGUGCCCUGUAUUCUGUAUGUGGUCUUACGUUGAGCAUGAAACCAUUUUUCCCUUCUCCGUUUGACAGUGGAAAGCCUACAAUUCUUCAGACUGCAGACGAUUUGGGCUUGUUGCGUUUUUGUUUUUUUUGUUGUUAAAAUGUAUUGGUCGCAUUAAACAAUUUAUAAAAAAAAUUCUAGUUUUGAUUAAUAUGAUUUUAAUGUAGGGAAAAAAAAUCCUCUCUUGGUAAGUUAGAUCAGUUUCUAAUUAAAAGAACCUCAUGAUGUAUGAAAAAAAGAUACGUAUAUGUGUAGUGUAAUAAGACUCAUGUGAUGAAUUUGUGAGCUAUCUUUUGAGUUUGGAUAUAACAGGUGACUUUAGAGGUUUCAUAAAUUAUGCUUAACGUUUCUAUUUAAAAAAAACCCUGCUGUGCCAUCAAUCUGGAAUACAGGUCAUGGGGCCCAUAAGUGUAUUUCAUUGGACAAGUAGAUUACACGAUAAGGAGGGUGGAGGUAAUUGCAGAAUCUUAAAUGAACAUUAAAUACUAAAUAAAUCAUUGCUUAAGAGAUUAGCUUGAGAAUAAUUUUUACAUGUAUUUUCAAAAAUUAUAUUGGUUGUUUAGCUUUGUCUGCACUUCCAUGUUUAACAUGAAUUGGAAAGCCCACAAUAUUCAGAAAUAAAUUACAGUAAAGGAGAACAAAAUAAAUAAUAAAAGUAUAUCGCAAAGUAGUUUUACUACACAUAGUUAAACAAUUUAUAUUAAUAUCUUGAGGUAUUUAAUGUCGCUUUAAAGGGACACCGAACUCAAUUUUUUUCUUUUGUGAUUCAGAUAGAGCAUGACAUUUUAAGCAACUUUAUAAUUUACUCCUAUUAUCAAAUUUUCUUUAUUCUCUUGGUAUCUUUAGAUGCCGGACCUUGUCCUUGCUGAUUGGUGGAUACAUUUGUCCACCAAUAAAAAAGUGUUGUCCAGAAUCUGAACCAAGAAAAAAAGCUGAUGCCUUUUUCAAAUAAAUAUAGCAAGAGAACAAAUAAAAAUUGAUAAUAGGAGUAAAUUAGAAAGUUGCUUAAAAUUGCAUGCUCUAUCUGAAUCACAAAAGAAAAAAAUUGGGUUCAGUGUCCCUUUAAGCUCAUCCAUUGAUAUAAACAUGUAAUUUUGAGAGUACUAGUCUUCCCUUUUAAAUGAAUUUAUGUUCAAGCUGUACAAAUUAAGGUGUUUAGUUUAAUACAGUUGCAUACAUAUUUAAUAGUUGAAGAAAAUGAUGCACUCUAUGUAUUUUAGAAAAGUAAUGUGUUCCUUUAAGAGACUAUUCUUAUAUAAUGCUGUUAUAACAAGGUGUACAAUUAGCCUAUUAUUUCUUUGUUUAGUGUAAAAUAAACGUGUUUUCAUGGCACUUUGAAUCUCA
RNA transcript from Bombina bombina (fire-bellied toad), 1705 nucleotides. It is a transcript of the gene named ubiquitin like 5, with no coding region annotated. The record is from RefSeq and is a predicted model, not a curated record. NCBI's taxonomy places the organism in Eukaryota, Metazoa, Chordata, Amphibia, Anura, Bombinatoridae. The transcript has 5 exons.